This 68-nucleotide transfer RNA is filed under the name Caenorhabditis brenneri. Its description in RNAcentral is "tRNA-Thr (AGT) (tRNA-Thr-AGT-2-1)". It matches the Rfam family "tRNA". Rfam says of the family: Transfer RNA (tRNA) molecules are approximately 80 nucleotides in length. Their secondary structure includes four short double-helical elements and three loops (D, anti-codon, and T loops). Further hydrogen bonds mediate the characteristic L-shaped molecular structure. tRNAs have two regions of fundamental functional importance: the anti-codon, which is responsible for specific mRNA codon recognition, and the 3' end, to which the tRNAs corresponding amino acid is attached (by aminoacyl-tRNA synthetases). tRNAs cope with the degeneracy of the genetic code in two manners: having more than one tRNA (with a specific anti-codon) for a particular amino acid; and 'wobble' base-pairing, i.e. permitting non-standard base-pairing at the 3rd anti-codon position. The record is from RNAcentral. Lineage: Eukaryota; Metazoa; Nematoda; Chromadorea; Rhabditida; Rhabditidae.
GAUUGGCUCAGUGGCAGAGCGUCUGUCUAGUAAACAGAAGGUCGCUGGUUCGAUUCCAGCAUGAGGCA